Molecule: transfer RNA, 72 nt
Filed under: Camelus dromedarius (Arabian camel)
Lineage: Eukaryota; Metazoa; Chordata; Mammalia; Artiodactyla; Camelidae
Also listed under: 2 other names
Rfam family: tRNA
About the family: Transfer RNA (tRNA) molecules are approximately 80 nucleotides in length. Their secondary structure includes four short double-helical elements and three loops (D, anti-codon, and T loops).
Source: Rfam by way of RNAcentral
GGUAUUAUAGCGCAGUGGUAGGGCGCCUGCUUAGCAUGCACGAGGUCCUGGGUUCAAUUCCCAGUACCUCCA